RNAcentral lists this ribosomal RNA (495 nucleotides) under Chrysotus sp. Pollet 0305. RNAcentral's name for it is "partial 16S ribosomal RNA". It matches the Rfam family "Bacterial large subunit ribosomal RNA", at positions 1892 to 2597 of the family's 2925-position model. Lineage: Eukaryota; Metazoa; Arthropoda; Insecta; Diptera; Dolichopodidae. The record is from RNAcentral.
AAUUUAAGUCUAAUCUGCCCACUGAUAUUAUUAAAGGGCCGCAGUAUAUUAACUGUGCAAAGGUAGCAUAAUCAUUAGUCUUUUAAUUGGAGGCUUGUAUGAAUGAUUGGACGAGAUAUAAUCUGUCUCAAAUAAAUUUUUAUAGAAUUUUAUUUUUUAGUUAAAAAGCUAAAAUAUAUUUAAAAGACGAGAAGACCCUAUAGAUCUUUAUAUUUAUAUUAUAUUAUUUUAUAAGAAUUUUUUGAAUAAUAUAUUUUAUAAUAUUUUGUUGGGGUGACAUUGAAAUUUAUUAAACUUUCAAUUUUUAUAAAUCAAAAAUUAUUGAAUUUUUGAUCCUUUAUUAUUGAUAAAAAAAUUAAGUUACCUUAGGGAUAACAGCGUAAUUAUUUUGGAGAGUUCAUAUCGAUAAAAUAGGUUACGACCUCGAUGUUGGAUUAAGAUUAAUUCUAGGCGUAGCAGUUUAGUUUAUUAAGUCUGUUCGACUUUUAAUUUCUU